This 484-nucleotide ribosomal RNA is filed under the name uncultured bacterium. Its description in RNAcentral is "partial 16S ribosomal RNA". It matches the Rfam family "Bacterial small subunit ribosomal RNA", at positions 30 to 507 of the family's 1533-position model. The record is from RNAcentral.
AUUGAACGCUGGCGGCAGGCCUAACACAUGCAAGUCGAGCGGAUGAAGGGAGCUUGCUCCUGGAUUCAGCGGCUGACGGGUGAGUAAUGCCUAGGAAUCUGCCUGGUAGUGGGGGAUAACGUCCGGAAACGGGCGCUUAUACCGCAUACGUCCUGAGGGAGCAAGUGGGGGAUCUUCGUACCUCACGCUAUCAGAUGAGCCUAGGUCUGAUUAGCUAGUUGGUGGGGUAAAGGCCUACCAAGGCGACGAUCCGUAACUGGUCUGAUAGGAUGAUCAGUCAAACUGGAACUGAGAAACGGUCCAGACUCCUACGGGAGGAAGCGGUGGGGAAUAUUGGACAAUGAGCGAAAGCCUGAUCCAGAAAUGCCGCGGGUGUGAAGAAGGUCUUCGGAUUUUAAAGCACUUUAAGUUGGGAGGAAGGGUAGUAAGUUAAUACCUUGCUGUUUUGACGUUACCAACAGAAUAAGCACCGGCUAACUUCGUG